UACGUAGGGUGCAAGCGUUGUUCGGAAUUAUUGGGCGUAAAGAGCUCGUAGGCGGUCUGUCACGUCGGCUGUGAAAUCCCGAGGCUCAACCUCGGGUCUGCAGUCGAUACGGGCAAACUAGAGUAUUGCAGGGGAGACUGGAAUUCCUGGUGUAGCGGUGAAAUGCGCAGAUAUCAGGAGGAACACCGAUGGCGAAGGCAGGUCUCUGGGCCACUACUGACGCUGAGAAGCGAAAGCAUGGGGGAGCGAACAGG
RNAcentral lists this ribosomal RNA (254 nucleotides) under uncultured bacterium. RNAcentral's name for it is "partial 16S ribosomal RNA". It matches the Rfam family "Bacterial small subunit ribosomal RNA", at positions 524 to 776 of the family's 1533-position model. The record is from RNAcentral.